This 478-nucleotide ribosomal RNA is filed under the name Blastocystis sp. Its description in RNAcentral is "SSU rRNA". It matches the Rfam family "Eukaryotic small subunit ribosomal RNA", at positions 463 to 954 of the family's 1831-position model. Lineage: Eukaryota; Bigyra; Opalinata; Blastocystidae. The record is from RNAcentral.
GGUAGUGACAAUAAAUCACAAUGCGGAACAUUUGUUUUGCAAUUGGAUUGAGAACAACGCACAACACUUAUCGAUAAACAAUUGGAGGGCAAGUCUGGUGCCAGCAGCCGCGGUAAUUCCAGCUCCAAUAGCGUAUAUUAACGUUGUUGCAGUUAAAAAGCUCGUAGUUGAAGUGAAGUAUGAAACCUUAACGUUUUCAUUUGAAUUCGUUUUGGUUUGAUACUCUUUCCAAUUUGUGUGCAUGGGUAUUCAUUUAUCUGUGUAGGCAUUUGGUCAUUUACUGUGAGAAAAUUAGAGUGUUCAAAGCAUACGUUUGUUUGAAUACAUUAGCAUGGAAUAAUUCGAAAAGGCUUUCAUGUUCGAUUUGAUUGGUUUGUUCGUGAAGGCAAGAUUAAAUAGGGACAGUUGGGGGUAUUCAUAUUCAAUAGUCAGAGGUGAAAUUCUCGGAUUUAUGGAAGAUGAACAAGUGCGAAAGCAA